Molecule: unclassified non-coding RNA, 334 nt
Filed under: soil metagenome
Description: partial contains 5.8S ribosomal RNA, internal transcribed spacer 2, and large subunit ribosomal RNA
Rfam family: 5.8S ribosomal RNA (bases 1-120)
Source: RNAcentral
GAUGAAGAACGCAGCGAAAUGCGAUAAGUAAUGUGAAUUGCAGAAUUCAGUGAAUCAUCGAAUCUUUGAACGCACAUUGCGCCCAUUAGCAUUCUAGUGGGCAUGCCUGUUCGAGCGUCAUUUCAACCCUUAAGCCCUGUUGCUUAGCGUUGGGAGCCUACAGUACUGUAGCUCCCCAAAGUUAGUGGCGGAGUCGGUUUCACACUCUAGACGUAGUAAUUUUUUCUCGUCUGUAGUUGAGCCGGUCCCCUGCCGUAAAACACCCAAUUUAUCAAGGUUGACCUCGGAUCAGGUAGGAAUACCCGCUGAACUUAAGCAUAUCAAUAGCGGAGGA